GAAUCUUCGGAGGAAGAGGACAGUGACUGAGCGGCGGACGGGUGAGUAACGCGUGGGCAACCUGCCUCAUACAGGGGGAUAACAGUUAGAAAUGACUGCUAAUACCGCAUAAGCGCACAGGACCGCAUGGUGUAGUGUGAAAAACUCCGGUGGUAUGAGAUGGACCCGCGUCUGAUUAGGUAGUUGGUGGGGUAAAGGCCUACCAAGCCGACGAUCAGUAGCCGACCUGAGAGGGUGACCGGCCACAUUGGGACUGAGACACGGCCCAAACUCCUACGGGAGGCAGCAGUGGGGAAUAUUGCACAAUGGGGGAAACCCUGAUGCAGCGACGCCGCGUGAAGGAAGAAGUAUUUCGGUAUGUAAACUUCUAUCAGCAGGGAAGAAAAUGACGGUACCUGAGUAAGAAGCACCGGCUAAAUACGUGCCAGCAGCCGCGGUAAUACGUAUGGUGCAAGCGUUAUCCGGAUUUACUGGGUGUAAAGGGAGCGUAGACGGAUAGGCAAGUCUGGAGUGAAACCCAGGGCUCAACCCUGGGACUGCUUUGGAAACUGCAGAUCUGGAGUGCCGGAGAGGUAAGCGGAAUUCCUAGUGUAGCGGUGAAAUGCGUAGAUAUUAGGAGGAACACCAGUGGCGAAGGCGGCUUACUGGACGGUGACUGACGUU
RNAcentral lists this ribosomal RNA (663 nucleotides) under uncultured Lachnospiraceae bacterium. Its description in RNAcentral is "bacterial SSU rRNA". It matches the Rfam family "Bacterial small subunit ribosomal RNA", at positions 71 to 747 of the family's 1533-position model. Lineage: Bacteria; Bacillati; Bacillota; Clostridia; Lachnospirales; Lachnospiraceae. The record is from RNAcentral.